CAGCAGCCACGGUAAUACGUAGGGUGCAAGCGUUGUCCGGAAUUAUUGGGCGUAAAGGGCUCGCAGGCGGUUUCUUAAGUCUGAUGUGAAAGCCCCCGGCUCAACCGGGGAGGGUCAUUGGAAACUGGGAAACUUGAGUGCAGAAGAGGAGAGUGGAAUUCCACGUGUAGCGGUGAAAUGCGUAGAGAUGUGGAGGAACACCAGUGGCGAAGGCGACUCUCUGGUCUGUAACUGACGCUGAGGAGCGAAAGCGUGGGGAGCGAACAGGAUUAGAUACCCCAGUAGUCCCUGUCUCUUAUAC
RNAcentral lists this ribosomal RNA (301 nucleotides) under uncultured bacterium. Its description in RNAcentral is "partial 16S ribosomal RNA". It matches the Rfam family "Bacterial small subunit ribosomal RNA", at positions 509 to 807 of the family's 1533-position model. The record is from RNAcentral.